Molecule: ribosomal RNA, 253 nt
Filed under: uncultured bacterium
Lineage: Bacteria
Description: partial 16S ribosomal RNA
Rfam family: Bacterial small subunit ribosomal RNA
Source: RNAcentral
UACGGGGGGGGCAAGCGUUGUUCGGAAUUACUGGGCGUAAAGGGUUCGUAGGUGGCCUGCUAAGUCACACGUGAAAUCCCUCAGCUUAACUGGGGAACUGCGUGUGAUACUGGCGAGCUUGAGUGCAGGAGAGGAACGCGGAAUUCCAGGUGUAGCGGUGAAAUGCGUAGAUAUCUGGAGGAACACCGGUGGCGAAGGCGGGUAGCUGGGCCGACACUGACGCUGAGGCGCGAAAGCCAGGGGAGCGAACGGG